Xiphophorus couchianus (Monterrey platyfish) is the source of this 414-nucleotide long non-coding RNA. RefSeq lists it as uncharacterized. The transcript is spliced from 2 exons. Lineage: Eukaryota; Metazoa; Chordata; Actinopteri; Cyprinodontiformes; Poeciliidae. The record is from RefSeq and is a predicted model, not a curated record.
GUGACUUCUGUUUCAUUAUUUUUGUGCACAGCUCUUUGGUCUUGUUGGAGUUUAAAAUUCUCUAGAACUAAAUCAGGAAGAGUAACUCCAGAGCUGCAGAGUUUAGAUGCUGUAUGUUCAUUUCUGAUGUAAAAUAAAGACAAAAACUGAAUAAAUAAAUUACUUCUGGUGUUCCUCUUCAUGUGAUUUAAAACUUGUCACGUUUUUAGACUCAGUUCAGGGAAAAUAUCAAGUGAACAAACUGAACCAUGAAUGUAAAGACGAUCAACCAGGAAAUGUUUCUUUUUCAUGCAUUUAUUGAUUUAAUUUUCAUUUCUGAGGCAGAGAAAGCUCCAUUAGGGAGGUCAAAAUCAGGUGAGAGAAAACAAAACUAUUGAUUUAUUCUAAUUCUGCAAACAUGUGGAUCAAACUGAA